Molecule: ribosomal RNA, 565 nt
Filed under: uncultured Gigaspora
Lineage: Eukaryota; Fungi; Glomeromycota; Glomeromycetes; Diversisporales; Gigasporaceae
Description: SSU rRNA
Rfam family: Eukaryotic small subunit ribosomal RNA
Source: RNAcentral
UUGGAGGGCAAGUCUGGUGCCAGCAGCUGCGGUAAUUCUAGCUCCAAUAGUGUAUAUUAAAGUUGUUGCUGUUAAAAAGCUUGUAGUUGAAUUUCGGGGUUCUACCGUUGGUCGGGCAAUUGUCUGUACUGGCGUGUGGAAUUUCUACCUUCUGGGGAACUAUCAUGUUAUUAAUUUAGCGUGGUAGGAAGCCAGGACCUUUACCUUGAAAAAAUUAGAGUAUUUAAAGCAGGCUUAUGUCUGAAUACAUUAGCAUGGAAUAAUAAAAUAGGACAGUGGUCCUGUUUAUUUUGUUGGUUUCUGAUUUACCGUAAUGAUUAAUAGGGAUAGUUGGCGGCAUUAUUAUUCAAUUGUCAGAGGUGAAAUUCUCGGAUUUAUUGAAGACUAACUUCUGCGAAAGCAUUUGCCAAGGAUGUUUUCAUUAAUCAAGAACGAAAGUUAGGGGAUCAAAGACGAUCAGAUACCGUCGUAGUCUUAACCAUAAACUAUGCCNACUAGGGAUCGGACGAUGUUAAUUUUUCUUGACUCGUUCGGCGCCUUACGGGAAACCAAANUGUUUGGGUUC